UACGGAGGGUGCGAGCGUUGUCCGGAAUCAUUGGGCGUAAAGGGCGCGUAGGUGGCCACUUCAAGCGUGCGGUGAAAGUCGGGGGCUCAACCCCUGAUCGGCCGUGCGAACUGGGGGGCUGGAGCACUGUAGAGGCAGGCGGAAUUCCGGGUGUAGCGGUGGAAUGCGUAGAGAUCCGGAAGAACACCGGUGGCGAAGGCGGCCUGCUGGGCAGUUUUGCUGACACUGAGGCGCGACAGCGUGGGGAGCAAGCAGG
RNAcentral lists this ribosomal RNA (256 nucleotides) under uncultured bacterium. RNAcentral describes it as "partial 16S ribosomal RNA". It matches the Rfam family "Bacterial small subunit ribosomal RNA", at positions 524 to 776 of the family's 1533-position model. The record is from RNAcentral.